GGAAAAAUAAACAUCUCUGAAACCUUAACUGUUUUCUCACCAUUGUUUUACACUAAACCAUUUAAUUGCAAUCUUUACUUUCUUGUUAAUUGUUUAUGCGUUUACAACAACAAUAACUAUCUUUUACUGUUUGCCUGACUAAGUCCAAUAGGACAACCAUUGCUUGCUCAGUCCGACAAUCCUCGUGAGAUCAACCAUCACUCACCUGAGGUAUUACUUGGAUGACCCGGUGCACUUGCCGGUUAAAUUCUGCGAGUUCUAAUCUCGCGGACUAGUGGUCCCCUACUGAGGCGGCGGAGUAAGUGCUGCCAUCGGUGCCCCACCAGCAACGCCGCUGCCUCCAGCACACAUCUGCUGGCUGUACUCCUCCAUUUAUUAUCGCAACCGAUCGAGUUGCUCCAGCUUCUCCAUCAGGUCCGAGCUAACGGCAACGUGUGCAAAAAUCUCUCGAUAUCUCUUCUCAGACUACUCCACCUGCUGGUGAAACUCUUGUGUUAUCUUCUGCACCUCCCCCCUUAGGUCGACAACUUCCUGAGGAUCAGCAGGGCUAGUGGCAGAGACAGAGGCAGAGAAAGCCACCAACGCAGAGGAGUAGAGGACACUGGCGAAGAACAAGCCCAACUCAAAGCAGCGAUUCUUGUGGGGUUCAGAGGCGGUCUCGCACCAAAUCUGUCCAGAUCCACGACUGAGAUCUCGGAGCCGGCUUUAUCGGCUCCACUAGGCGGCUGAAAUUGAACUCAUGACUGCAUGCCAUCAGGUCAAAUUGCUGCAUCUGCAUGGGGGCAUAGCAGAAAGAGGCACCCAGUUUGGGUUUGGGACCAUGAUGAAUUGCGGGUCCAUCGACGGGAUAGUCGAGGUAAAGGGCAACGAUUGGGCAGCCCUGGGAGAUUCAGUGGAAGUCGCCCUCUACCAUGACCAUGUGUCCCAUUCGACCUACCUCUGCUGCCUGUCGUCAUGUCUGUACAUCAAAUAUAUUAAUAACAUAAC
Molecule: long non-coding RNA, 987 nt
Filed under: Arachis ipaensis
Lineage: Eukaryota; Viridiplantae; Streptophyta; Magnoliopsida; Fabales; Fabaceae
Description: long non-coding RNA (AIPA_LNC001296)
Source: RNAcentral